Non-coding RNA from Corylus avellana, 784 nucleotides. The record is from RefSeq and is a predicted model, not a curated record. Lineage: Eukaryota; Viridiplantae; Streptophyta; Magnoliopsida; Fagales; Betulaceae.
UCCCUUGGCGCACUCGUCACUGGUGCCGGCCACCUCUCUCUUUUCCUUCCGAUCUGAUAUUUUCCCCGUUCCCUCCGUCAUCCAUGUUCGGAUCGUAAGCUAAGAGCAUGCCCAGCGAGUUCGGCGAAACCCAUUCGUAGCCAAAUUUUACCGGGUGAACUCAAAAUACCCCCCCUACAGCAAGUUCAGACAAACAUAUCUCGCCAUUUCUUUUCUUAAUUCCAGUUUUGGUUGACACUGCGUUGCUGCUCUGCAAAACACCGGUGGGAACACGACAAAAAUACCAGUCCGCAAAAUCUCUCUCUUGUAGUGUGGGUUUGGUGAAUCUGAGGGGAAUCAGAUUAUCAACAAGUUUGCAGUGAGAUCACCGUCGAGUUCAAUGAUUGCUCUAAAUAACUGCUACUUUCAUGCCCUUAAAUACACCACCCCAUGUGAAUUGUGUAUUGACAUUCCAUGUAAAUGCUGUGGAAUAUCAUGUGAUUUGUUUUGUUUUGGCAAUUACAAUCAUGUGUUCUUUGAUGAUGUUACUCUGCUUUUAGCUUCGGGAUUCAAACUUUAUCCUACACAUAAUCUGCAAUAUGAUUUGCUAAAUAGGUUCAAUCUCUGCCAUCAUUGCUUUUAGAUUUGCUAUAUGAUUUGUUAUUCAAUUUUUGAAGCAUCAUAAUGGAUGCAAGCCCUAGAACUUCAGUCUAGGUAUUCACAUAUUUAAUAAGCCAACGAGAAUCCUCAAUUAGAAGCUUAGCAUUGGCAAUUCUUUUAGACCAAGACUUUGAAGAAUUUUUAA